This is a long non-coding RNA of Cryptomeria japonica (Japanese cedar), 724 nucleotides long. RefSeq lists it as uncharacterized. The transcript is spliced from 2 exons. Lineage: Eukaryota; Viridiplantae; Streptophyta; Pinopsida; Cupressales; Cupressaceae. The record is from RefSeq and is a predicted model, not a curated record.
GGGAGCUCCAUUUACAACGCUAUUAUUGAGGAAUCAUUCACCAUGUUUGUGGUAAAGGAUCAAGAAAUGGCGCACAGCGGAGGACGGGAACCGACUAAAAAUAAUUUAUCAUGACCCAUUUUGGGGGAAUUUAAAGCAAAAACAGGAAGGAUAACGUAGCCAAGGAGGAGGAUGAGGGGAAGCAAGGGCAAAGGUUGUUGUAGGGUUGGAUCAAUUAAAGGAGCAGGAGCAACAACAGAAAAAAGGGCUAAGAGUUUAGUUUGGUACAUAUACAAUGUGUAUACCUCUGUUGGGAGUCAGCUUGUAUUUGAAGCGCUUCAACAACACCGACAUUAAGAAGAAUAGCCUCUUACCACAUCCACAAAGUUGUUUGGUACAAGCAUGGCUUGAGAUUGCAUACCUCUUUAGAACUUACUUUGUAUGAAGAUUCCGAGCACCUGGAGGGAGGAAAUGCCCCCAAAAGAUAAAAAUUAUAUUUUUUCUUCAGUGUUUGCCAGAUCUUAUUUGAGGGGCGAUGAAUUAAUGUCAGAUGUUUUCUUGUGCUUCAAGUUUUCGCUUUAUUGGGGAAUAACUUCAGUUUUUGGUUGAAUACGAUGAAAUUGAACACGUUUUCUUAAAAUCUCUGCGUGUCAAUGGUGGAUUCAAGGAUAAGGGCCGACAUAUUGGUGUUAUUUAAUGUAAUGGAAAAGAAAUACGAUUGCAGUCAAGGUUGGAGAUAAUCUAA